This 492-nucleotide ribosomal RNA is filed under the name uncultured bacterium. RNAcentral describes it as "partial 16S ribosomal RNA". It matches the Rfam family "Bacterial small subunit ribosomal RNA", at positions 29 to 507 of the family's 1533-position model. The record is from RNAcentral.
AGUGAACGCUGGCGGUAGGCCUAACACAUGCAAGUCGAACGGCAGCACAGUAAGAGCUUGCUCUUACGGGUGGCGAGUGGCGGACGGGUGAGGAAUACAUCGGAAUCUACUUUUUCGUGGGGGAUAACGUAGGGAAACUUACGCUAAUACCGCAUACGACCUACGGGUGAAAGCAGGGGAUCUUCGGACCUUGCGCGAUUGAAUGAGCCGAUGUCGGAUUAGCUAGUUGGCGGGGUAAAGGCCCACCAAGGCGACGAUCCGUAGCUGGUCUGAGAGGAUGAUCAGCCACGCUGGAACUGAAACACGGUCCAGACUCCUACGGGAGGCAGCAGUGGGGAAUAUUGGACAAUGGGCGCAAGCCUGAUCCAGCCAUACCGCGUGGGUGAAGAAGGCCUUCGGGUUGUAAAGCCCUUUUGUUGGGAAAGAAAAGCAGCAGGUUAAUACCCCGCUGUUCUGACGGUACCCAAAGAAUAAGCACCGGCUAACUUCGUG